This 311-nucleotide ribosomal RNA is filed under the name uncultured eukaryote. Its description in RNAcentral is "partial 18S ribosomal RNA". It matches the Rfam family "Eukaryotic small subunit ribosomal RNA", at positions 1470 to 1796 of the family's 1831-position model. The record is from RNAcentral.
CCCUUAGAUGUUCUGGGCUGCACGCGCGCUACACUGAUGCGCUCAACGAGUUUACGACCUUGCCCGGAAGGGUUGGGUAAUCUUUUUAAAACGCAUCGUGAUGGGGAUAGAUUAUUGCAAUUAUUAAUCUUUAACGAGGAAUUCCUAGUAAGCGCGAGUCAUCAACUUGCGUUGAUUACGUCCCUGCCCUUUGUACACACCGCCCGUCGCUACUACCGAUUGAAUGGUUUAGUGAGGCCUUCGGAUCCGCGACUCGUUUUGUGGAGAAGUUGGACAAACUCAGUCAUUUAGAGGAAGUAAAAGUCGUAACA